AGCGGAAAUCCUUUAAAUAUUCAAAUUUCCCGCGUUCUCAUGUUCCCCGUUUUUCGAUUAUCUUUCUUUUU
Molecule: non-coding RNA, 71 nt
Organism: Caenorhabditis elegans
Lineage: Eukaryota; Metazoa; Nematoda; Chromadorea; Rhabditida; Rhabditidae
Source: Ensembl